AUUUAUUUUUUAGUUCUUGGUGGACACAACAUCUUUGUUGGUGUGUGGUGCUGAGGAUCGAACCCGGGCCGCACGCAUGCCAGGCGAGCGCGCUACUGCUGGAGCCACACCCCAGCCCCAGGACGUGCUUUGUGACAGGAAGAUUCCACCAGAUUCACAUUUGAGAAGAAGGGCAGGCUCUACUCUUCUUGAGGGGGAAGGUGACCACCCGACCCGGUUUCUUCACCUGUGAAGUGGGCGAUCCGCGCUCUUAAGCGACUGUGCUUCUGCACUAAGGUGAAGGUGGCCUGGCCACGGUGCACGCCUGGACGCGUCCAGGCCUGAGGAUCCCCAGACCAGACGUCCUCCACCAGGGCCGUCCCGCCCGAGGGAACAUGGGCCACGUCUGGGAACAUGUGUGACUGUCACAGCUGCAGAGCUCCCGGCCCGGAGUGGGCAGAGGCCAGGGACGCUGCUGAGCACCCUGCAGGGCCUGGACGAUGGACGGAAGCACAGCCCCAGCAUCCCCGGAGCAGACCCCACUGUACACGAGCCGCAGUGCCAACUGCGACUUUAUGGUCCUGGGCAUCGACCUGGGGGGCUCGACCACCGAGUGACACCCCCAGGUCUUUUUUGUUUUUAAUACAGGGUCUGGCUAAGCUGUCCAGGCUGCUGUGAGCUGGUGGUCCUCCUGCCUCAGCCUCCAGAGUAGCCAGAAUUACAGAUGUGACCUCCA
This is a long non-coding RNA of Ictidomys tridecemlineatus (thirteen-lined ground squirrel), 715 nucleotides long. RefSeq lists it as uncharacterized. Lineage: Eukaryota; Metazoa; Chordata; Mammalia; Rodentia; Sciuridae. The record is from RefSeq and is a predicted model, not a curated record.